This 242-nucleotide ribosomal RNA is filed under the name uncultured bacterium. RNAcentral's name for it is "partial 16S ribosomal RNA". It matches the Rfam family "Bacterial small subunit ribosomal RNA", at positions 337 to 571 of the family's 1533-position model. The record is from RNAcentral.
CCCUACGGGGGGCAGCAGUAGGGAAUCUUCCACAAUGGGCGCAAGCCUGAUGGAGCAACACCGCGUGAGUGAAGAAGGGGUUCGGCUCGUAAAGCUCUGUUGGUGGGGAGGAAAGGGCGUGAGAGAAACUGUUCGCGCAGGGACGGUAUCCAACCAGAAAGUCACGGCUAACUACGUGCCAGCAGCCGCGGUAAUACGAAGGGGGCAAGCGUUAUCCGGAUUUAUUGGGCGUAAAGCGAGCG